AGAGUUUGAUCCUGGCUCAGGAUAAACGCUGGCGGCGCACAUAAGACGUGCAAGUCGAACGAACUUAACUCAUUCUUUACGAUUGAGAGCGGUUAGUGGCGGACUGGUGAGUAAUACGUAAGCAACCUGCCUAUCAGAGGGGAAUAACAGUGAGAAAUCAUUGCUAAUACCGCAUAUGCUAACAGUAUUGCAUGAUACAGUUAGGAAAGGAGCAAUCCGCUGAUAGAUGGGCUUACGCCUGAUUAGCUAGUUGGUGGGGCAACGGCCUACCAAGGCGGCGAUCAGUAGCCGGACUGAGAGGUUGAACGGCCACAUUGGGACUGAGAUACGGCCCAGACUCCUACGGGAGGCAGCAGUCGGGAAUAUUGCGCAAUGGAGGAAACUCUGACGCAGUGACGCCGCGUAUAGGAAGAAGGUUUUCGGAUUGUAAACUAUUGUCGUUAGGGAAGAUAAAAGACUGUACCUAAGGAGGAAGCCCCGGCUAACUAUGUGCCAGCAGCCGCGGUAAUACAUAGGGGGCAAGCGUUAUCCGGAAUUAUUGGGUGUAAAGGGUGCGUAGACGGAGAGACAAGUUGGUUGUGAAAUCCCUCGGCUCAACUGAGGAACUGCAACCAAAACUAUUUCCCUUGAGUGUCGGAGAGGAAAGUGGAAUUCCUAGUGUAGCGGUGAAAUGCGUAGAUAUUAGGAGGAACACCAGUGGCGAAGGCGACUUUCUGGACGAUAACUGACGUUGAGGCACGAAAGUGUGGGGAGCAAACAGGAUUAGAUACCCUGGUAGUCCACACCGUAAACGAUGGAUA
RNAcentral lists this ribosomal RNA (800 nucleotides) under uncultured bacterium. RNAcentral's name for it is "bacterial SSU rRNA". It matches the Rfam family "Bacterial small subunit ribosomal RNA", at positions 8 to 815 of the family's 1533-position model. The record is from RNAcentral.